RNAcentral lists this ribosomal RNA (253 nucleotides) under uncultured bacterium. RNAcentral's name for it is "partial 16S ribosomal RNA". It matches the Rfam family "Bacterial small subunit ribosomal RNA", at positions 524 to 776 of the family's 1533-position model. The record is from RNAcentral.
UACGUAGGGUGCAAGCGUUGUCCGGAAUUAUUGGGCGUAAAGAGCGUGUAGGCGGCCCGAUUAGUCCGCUGUGAAAGUCCAGGGCUCAACCCUGGAAUGCCGGUGGAUACUGCAGGGCUAGAGUCCGGAAGAGGCGAGUGGAAUUCCUGGUGUAGCGGUGGAAUGCGCAGAUAUCAGGAGGAACACCAAUAGCGAAGGCAGCUCGCUGGGACGGUACUGACGCUAAGGCGCGAAAGCGUGGGGAGCGAACAGG